GACGAACGCUGGCGGCGUGCUUAACACAUGCAAGUCGAACGGAAAGGCCCUGCUUUGGGGGGGUGCUCGAGUGGCGAACGGGUGAGUAACACGUGAGUAACCUGCCCUUGACUUUGGGAUAACUUCAGGAAACUGGGGCUAAUACCGGAUAGGAGCUCCUGCUGCAGGGUGGGGGUGGGAAAGUUUCGGCGGUUGGGGAUGGACUCGCGGCUUAUCAGCUUGUUGGUGGGGUAGUGGCUUACCAAGGCUUUGACGGGUAGCCGGCCUGAGAGGGUGACCGGCCCCAUUGGGCCUGAGCUACGGCCCAGCCUCCUCCGGGAGGCAGCAGUGGGGAAUAUUGCACAAUGGGCGGAACCCUGAUCCAGCCACGCCGCGUGCGGGAUGACGGCCUUCGGGUUGUAUUCCGCUUUCGCCUGUGACGAAGCGUGAGUGACGGUAAUGGGUAAAUAAGCACCGGCUAACUACGUG
Molecule: ribosomal RNA, 468 nt
Filed under: uncultured bacterium
Lineage: Bacteria
Description: partial 16S ribosomal RNA
Rfam family: Bacterial small subunit ribosomal RNA
Source: RNAcentral